This 498-nucleotide ribosomal RNA is filed under the name uncultured bacterium. RNAcentral describes it as "partial 16S ribosomal RNA". It matches the Rfam family "Bacterial small subunit ribosomal RNA", at positions 28 to 507 of the family's 1533-position model. The record is from RNAcentral.
GACGAACGCUGGCGGCGUGCCUAAUACAUGCAAGUCGAACGAGAGCGACCGGUGCUUGCACUGGUCAAUCUAGUGGCGAACGGGUGAGUAACACGUGGGUAACCUGCCCAUCAGAGGGGGAUAACAUCCGGAAACGGAUGCUAAAGCCGCAUAGGUCUUCGAGCCGCAUGGCUUGAAGAGGAAAAGAGGCGCAAGCUUCUGCUGAUGGAUGGACCCGCGGUGCAUUAGCUAGUUGGUGAGGUAACGGCUCACCAAGGCCGUGAUGCAUAGCCGACCUGAGAGGGUGAUCGGCCACAUUGGGACUGAGACACGGCCCAAACUCCUACGGGAGGCAGCAGUAGGGAAUCUUCCGCAAUGGACGCAAGUCUGACGGAGCAACGCCGCGUGAGUGAAGAAGGUUUUCGGAUCGUAAAACUCUGUUGUUAGAGAAGAACAAGUGCUAGAGUAACUGUUAGCGCCUUGACGGUAUCUAACCAGAAAGCCACGGCUAACUACGUG